UUUUUCCUGCGGAUCCUGAAAUUUGUAACAAUUUUUAUCGGCGGACAAUAUGUCUUUUAGCACUUUCAGAAGCAGUAGGUUCCAACACUACCCAACGUCUGCAAUAGUAAUGGCAGGGAUGUUAAUGAAAGUUUCUGAAACAAAACCAGUUAAGCAGGUGCCAGAAAUCAUGAUUGGUGGUGGUGGUGAUUGGGCACCUAUUUAGGCUUACAGCUGCCUUUUUUUUGUUUUUUUUUUUUUAUCCGCCAAGGAUUUAUGCAUCUAUUAUGGAGACGGAGAAGAAUACGUAAGAUGCAAUCUUCUGCAUUGCUCUGCAUUCCUGAUCAAUAAGCAGUUACAAACAUUGCUCUACACUGAUAAGCAUCAGAGACAAAGGUCAGGCUGAAUUAGGUAUUUUGAAAAUCCAACUGAAAUUGUGUUGUGGCAGUAUGAUUAUUCCAGAACUAAUUAUUUCUCAGUUCACCGGCUUUGUGUUGUGCCUUUACUGUUCAGGGCCAAAGCUAUUCGUCUCGUAGAACUCCCAUUUUUAUAUGGUCUGUUGCUAAGGGACGAGAUGUCUUUUUGUUGACAAAGAUUAGGCCAUUGCUACACGUUACUAAUUACGAGAUCACAAAAACGAGGCGAUGACGGGGCAACCAUGAAGCGACGGGUAAUGCGAAGACGGAGAGACGGGCGAUACUUGGGCGUUAGCUGAAAUGCCAUUCGGCAACAGGCUACUUUGCUGAGGCUUCAUUUGACUACUACCACGUAAAAUACUACAUCACGAAUGCUGCCUAGUACCACACUACCGCCUUGUACUACACCCAGCUCCGGAAUACUACCCCUAUAGAAGAUGGAAUACCAUAAUACAACCCGAGCGUUUCAUGGUAAAGCCAAAGAGAAUACCAGGAGUAGUUACAGCUGCAGAAUCAAUUGAAUUACCACGUGUUACGUUUCAGAGAUGGCGCUGCGGCUAUUAG
Molecule: long non-coding RNA, 959 nt
Filed under: Daphnia magna
Lineage: Eukaryota; Metazoa; Arthropoda; Branchiopoda; Diplostraca; Daphniidae
Description: uncharacterized LOC123475192, transcript variant X2
Source: RNAcentral